This is a long non-coding RNA of Helianthus annuus (common sunflower), 1007 nucleotides long. RefSeq lists it as uncharacterized. Lineage: Eukaryota; Viridiplantae; Streptophyta; Magnoliopsida; Asterales; Asteraceae. The transcript is spliced from 2 exons. The record is from RefSeq and is a predicted model, not a curated record.
AUUUAUCCUCCCUACCCGACCCCUCACUUCAAGGGCUUUACUUUGGAGAAUUCCAAAAGGGUUUUUUCAUUUUCAAACUCCCUAGAUAAUGGCAUCUGAUGAUCUGGUGUGGAAUUAUUGUAAGAAAGUCAAUAGCAAUAGUGAUUUGGAGUGCCUAGCAUGUAACAAAAUUUACAAAGGCAUCAAGACUAACGCUGUGUUUCCGAGUUAACUUAAUGAGGGAUAAGAAAAGAAAGCAAAAGUGAGAAAGGAAAGGACGAGAAAGGAAAAAAAAGAUGACUUUCCCACCGCUUCCUCCCAAAUCGGAAGGAAAGAAAAAUUAAAGAAUUUAACCUAGUUUUCUUGUCAUUUCCUUUCUUUUCCUUCUUUAAACGAAACUCGGGAAUACGACAUGUUUUAUUUUCCUUUCUUUUCCUUCCUUAAAUGAAACUCUGGAACACAAAAUAUUUUUACUUUCUUUAUGUUUCCUAUCCUUUCCUUCCAUUAGUAAACUCUGGAACACAGUGUAAGAGAAUGAAGCAGCAUCUCGCGGAUAUAGGGGAUGUCCCCGAAUGUAAAAAGGUCACAGAGGCAGUUCGUAAACCGAUGCUUAAAAAUUUAGACGAUGCUGAAUCAAGAAGUAAGGUUGGGGGUGAUGGUGAUUAUGAUGAUUCCAAAAAAGAGUUGGGUUUCGCGAUUGGACGAUUCUUCAUAGACGCAUGAAUACCAUUCGGUAUGGUUUAUUCCCCAUACUUCCAAGCCUUGCUUGAUGUAAUUAGUUCUCAACCACCAAAGGUUAUUGCACCUUCUUUUCAAUAGUUGCAAGGGUCGAUCUUCAAAGAUAUUACCUCCUAAAUGAAAACGGAUGUUGAAAGGGGCUUAGGUAAAUGUGAAGAAAAUGGCUGCUCAAUAAUACUUGAUGAACGGAUAAAAGAUGGUAAAACCUUGGUAAAGUUCUCUAUCCGUUGUUAUGAAUAACUAGUGCUUCUUACCUUAUUCAGCCAAACUGAAAUCACCAAUUUUGAUUG